AUGAACGCUAGCUACAGGCUUAACACAUGCAAGUCGAGGGGCAGCAUGGGGUAGCAAUACUCAGAUGGCGACCGGCGCACGGGUGAGUAACACGUAUCCAACCUGCCGCUUACUCGGGGAUAGCCUUUCGAAAGAAAGAUUAAUACCCGAUGGUAUAAAGAGUUCGCAUGUUCUCUUAUUAAAGAAUUUCGGUAAGCGAUGGGGAUGCGUUCCAUUAGAUAGUUGGCGGGGUAACGGCCCACCAAGUCUACGAUGGAUAGGGGUUCUGAGAGGAAGGUCCCCCACAUUGGAACUGAGACACGGUCCAAACUCCUACGGGAGGCAGCAGUGAGGAAUAUUGGUCAAUGGACGAGAGUCUGAACCAGCCAAAAGUAGCGUGAAGGAUGACUGCCCUAUGGGUUGUAAACUUCUUUUAUAAGGGAAUAAAGUGAGGGACGUGUCCCUUUUUGUAUGUACCUUAUGAAUAAGGAUCGGCUAACUCCGUGCCAGCCGCGGC
RNAcentral lists this ribosomal RNA (496 nucleotides) under uncultured bacterium. RNAcentral's name for it is "bacterial SSU rRNA". It matches the Rfam family "Bacterial small subunit ribosomal RNA", at positions 29 to 518 of the family's 1533-position model. The record is from RNAcentral.